UAUCCCCUGUGUGCCUUUAAGGCGUGCGUAGCGAAGCUAACGCGAUAAGUUGACCGCCUGGGGAGUACGGCCGCAAGAUUAAAACUCAAAUGAAUUGACGGGGGCCCGCACAAGCGGUGGAGCAUGUGGUUUAAUUCGAAGCAACGCGAAGAACCUUACCUACACUUGACAUACUAGAAACUUUUCAGAGAUGAAUUGGUGCCUUCGGGAAUCUAGAUACAGGUGCUGCAUGGCU
This 235-nucleotide ribosomal RNA is filed under the name uncultured Gammaproteobacteria bacterium. RNAcentral describes it as "partial 16S ribosomal RNA". It matches the Rfam family "Bacterial small subunit ribosomal RNA", at positions 816 to 1050 of the family's 1533-position model. The record is from RNAcentral. Lineage: Bacteria; Pseudomonadati; Pseudomonadota; Gammaproteobacteria.